This 354-nucleotide RNase P RNA is filed under the name Mycoplasma sp. HU2014. It matches the Rfam family "Bacterial RNase P class B". Rfam says of the family: Ribonuclease P (RNase P) is a ubiquitous endoribonuclease, found in archaea, bacteria and eukarya as well as chloroplasts and mitochondria. Its best characterised activity is the generation of mature 5'-ends of tRNAs by cleaving the 5'-leader elements of precursor-tRNAs. Lineage: Bacteria; Bacillati; Mycoplasmatota; Mollicutes; Mycoplasmatales; Mycoplasmataceae. The record is from RNAcentral.
AGAUUUUAUUUGUCAAUCGCUGUAUCUGAAAGAUGAUAUAGAGGAAACUCCACGCUUGCACAGCCUGUGAUGGUUGUAGUGAUUAUGCUAGACGAAUAAAUAAGUCUAGGCAGUAUAUUUUACUGACGGCAUAACUAAGCUAAGGUGAAAGCUAUGCAACAGUUAUGAAGUGCCACAGAGACGAGUAUAGGGAAACCUUGAAAUGGAACGCGGUAAACCCCAUAAGCAAGAAACUCAAAUUUUGGUAGAGGAAUCUAGUUAAGAGAAACAGAAUCAAAAUUAGAAGCAGAAAUGCUAGAUAGAUGAUUGACACUAGUAAUAGUACAGAACGUGGGUUAUAAAUAGAGUCUCAUC